UGCAUCUGUGCGAUAUGCACAUUUUGCACACAACAUGUUUGGUAGUCCAUCAUACCUAUCGAUCUAAAAAAGAAAUAUGUAUAUCAGAUAAUUAGGUUAUGCAAAAGGUAGUACAUAGGUAUAAGCAAGGAAUUUUCUGAGAAAAUAUGUUUACAAGAAUCUAUUUGUUUUGUUCCAAUGAGCAUUCACACUACCUGUCUCAAUUGUUGACAACAUGACAUAUGUCACAACUUAUUGUAAAACAUAAUUUAAUUAUGUAAAAUAAUUUUAACAUACAAUUAAUUUAAUAUUGUACUCUCAUAGACGUUGUAAUAAUAAAAAGGAAACAUGAACAUAAUCUUUAAUAAAGACAUGUGAAUAUCA
Molecule: long non-coding RNA, 363 nt
Organism: Megalopta genalis
Lineage: Eukaryota; Metazoa; Arthropoda; Insecta; Hymenoptera; Halictidae
Source: RefSeq, a predicted model, not a curated record